CUAAAACAUAAAACUUUUAUCAUAAGGAAUUAUUUACGAAAAAACAGGCAAAGGAUGAUGUUAGACAAAAUGACUAUUUAUACAGUUUUCUGUAAACGCAUAGUUUCAUUUGGGAUUUACUGUAGUGAAGUGCCGAGUGACGUCAAAAUCGAUAAACGCAAAACGCACCCUGGAGCGCUAUUGUACGGACCUUUCUCUCCGCUGAUACCCGGCCGGAGCACGGCAGGACCCAAACUGCAUCCCCGCUGAACUCCUGCUGGAAUGGUUUGAGUAGGCAAGCGCAGCAGAGGUUAGAGUAGCAGAUAAAAAGGGGCAAUGAGGGUGCAGCAGCGCGCGAUUUGGGGAAAAAGCAGUGUAUUUACACGCUUCAUCUCGUCUCCAAGUCCUCAUUAGGUUGUUAACCUCUUGUUCGCAUGAAAAGCUGCCGCGUUGCACAGGACCCUUGCGCAGCACUGGUAUUCCCCUAAAGGCACAGAUCAAAGCGUUUAAAAUCAGUGCGUUGAAAUAAGCGUUUGUUGGGUUACUUUGGAUAGAUGGUCGAUGUUGCAUUAUUUAUUUUUAUUUAGCCUAUUUAUUUGAUUAU
Molecule: long non-coding RNA, 583 nt
Organism: Xyrauchen texanus (razorback sucker)
Lineage: Eukaryota; Metazoa; Chordata; Actinopteri; Cypriniformes; Catostomidae
Exons: 3
Source: RefSeq, a predicted model, not a curated record